This 497-nucleotide ribosomal RNA is filed under the name uncultured bacterium. Its description in RNAcentral is "partial 16S ribosomal RNA". It matches the Rfam family "Bacterial small subunit ribosomal RNA", at positions 28 to 507 of the family's 1533-position model. The record is from RNAcentral.
GAUGAACGCUGGCGGCGUGCCUAAUACAUGCAAGUCGAGCGAACAGCUGAGGAGCUUGUUCCUCUGACGUUAGCGGCGGACGGGUGAGUAACACGUGGAUAACUUACCUAUAAGACUGGGAUCAUUUCGGGAAACCGGAGCUAAUACAGGAUAAUCUAUUGCCCCGUAUGGUUACAUAGUGAAAGACGGUUUUGCUGUCACUUAUAGAUGGAUCCGAGCCGCAUUAGCUAGUUGGUAAGGUAACGGCUUAAGCAGGCAACCAUGCGUAGCCGACCUGAGAGCGAGGACGACCAGACGGGAACAGAGAGUCGGUCCAGACUCCGACAGUGAGCAGCAGUAGGAAAUCUUCCGCGAUGGGGGAGUGCCGGACAUAGCAACGCGGCGGAAAUGAUGAAGGAGUGCGGAUCGGAGAGCUCUGUUAUAAGGGAGUAACAAAUGUGUUAUUAGCAAGGCACAUCAUGACGGUACCUGAUCAGAAAGCCACGGCUAACUACGUG